Molecule: long non-coding RNA, 939 nt
Filed under: Mytilus galloprovincialis (Mediterranean mussel)
Lineage: Eukaryota; Metazoa; Mollusca; Bivalvia; Mytilida; Mytilidae
Source: RNAcentral
GUUUGGUAUAAUAAAGGGUCUGCUAAAUAAUGUAAGGCUGAGAUAAAUUAGUCAUUUGGUCACACCAGUUUUUUGGCGAGGUUCGUUUUGUUCAGUCUUGGAUGUUCUUUGUUGUGUUUUGCAUUCUGUUGUUUGUUUUUUAAUCUUUCUCUUUUUUUGCCGUGGUUUUGUCAGUUUAUUAUUGACUUAUGUGUUUGAAUAAGCCUUUAGUAUCUUUCGCCUCUCUCUUCGGUCAAUUUGAUUAUGUGGGACAUACAGAUUUAGACCCAAACUUGUCUCUGAUUGUUUCGUGAUUAUUGCAGAUGUAAAUCAUACUAUAAAAUUGAGUAUGGAAAUGGGGAAUGUGUCAAGGAGACAACAACCCGACCAUAGAGCAGACAACAGCCGAAGGCCACCGAUAGAUCUUCAAUGUAGCGAGAAACUCCCGCACACGGAGGUGUCCGUCAGCUGGCCCCUAAACAAAUAUGUAUACUAGUUCAGUGAUAAUGGACGUCAUACUAAGCUCCGAAUUAUACACAAGAAACUAAAAUUAAAAAUCAUACAAGACUAACAAAGGUCAGAGGCUCCUGACUUGGGACAGGCGCAAAAUUGCGGCGGGAUUAAACAUGUUUUUUGAGAUCUCAACCCUCCCCUAUACCUGUAGCCAAUGUAGAAAAAACAAACGCGAAACAAUACGCACAGUAAAACUCAGUUUAAGAGAAGUCCGAGUCCGAUGUCAGAAUAUGAAACAAAAGAAAAUAAACAAAAUGACAAUAAUACAUAAAUAACAACAGACUACUAGCAGUUAUUGACAUGCCAGAACCAGACCUUAAUUAAACUGAUUGAAAGAUUAUGUCUUCAUCAUAUGAAUAUCAGGCACAAUCCCUCCUGUUAGGGGUUUAGUAUUAUACCGUCAUGAAAUAUACAACCCUCUUAUUUACAAUAUCAUUUGAUCAACAC